UAAAUUAAUUAAAAUUAAUACCUUUUCAAUGUAAAUGAAAUACUUUUUAUAAGCUAUAAUUUA
This 63-nucleotide transfer RNA is filed under the name Arhopala epimuta. Its description in RNAcentral is "tRNA-Val". The record is from RNAcentral. Lineage: Eukaryota; Metazoa; Arthropoda; Insecta; Lepidoptera; Lycaenidae.